CCUACGGGACGCACCAGUGGGGAAUAUUGCACAAUGGGCGCAAGCCUGAUGCAGCCAUGCCGCGUGUAUGAAGAAGGCCUUCGGGUUGUAAAGUACUAUCAGCGGGGAGGAAGGUGUUGUGGUUAAUAACCGCAGCAAUUGACGUUACCCGCAGAAGAAGCACCGGCUAACUCCGUGCCAGCAGCCGCGGUAAUACGGAGGGUGCAAGCGUUAAUCGGAAUUACUGGGCGUGAAGCGCACGCAGGCGGUCUGUCAAGUCGGAUGUGAAAUCCCCGGGCUCAACCUGGGAACUGCAUUCGAAACUGGCAGGCUAGAGUCUUGUAGAGGGGGGUAGAAUUCCAGGUGUAGCGGUGAAAUGCGUAGAGAUCUGGAGGAAUACCGGUGGCGAAGGCGGCCCCCUGGACAAAGACUGACGCUCAGGUGCGAGAGCGUGGGGGCAAACAGGAUUAGAUACCCCUGUAGUC
This 464-nucleotide ribosomal RNA is filed under the name uncultured bacterium. RNAcentral's name for it is "bacterial SSU rRNA". It matches the Rfam family "Bacterial small subunit ribosomal RNA", at positions 338 to 795 of the family's 1533-position model. The record is from RNAcentral.